This 1002-nucleotide ribosomal RNA is filed under the name Triticum aestivum (bread wheat). Its description in RNAcentral is "partial small subunit ribosomal RNA". The record is from RNAcentral. Lineage: Eukaryota; Viridiplantae; Streptophyta; Magnoliopsida; Poales; Poaceae.
AUGGCAGGCAACGGAUCCGAGUCUUACACCUCCCAUGUUGACUGCCGGGAGCUCGUCCCACGCGACACCGAGGAGAUGGCCGUCCGUGUUGGGCUCCGCCGCUCACGAGAGGAGUACGCCGGACAGCGCGCGGACUCCAUCCAGUUGGAAUCCAUUGCGUUCGCCGAAGUGGCGCAUGGAUCCGGCGCGAGGCGCGUCGCCGUUGCCUCGCCGGAGGCGGUGCAGUCCAUCUGGCGUCCGAACACCGUGCCAAAGGCAACACCUAUUGAUGUUGUACUGAAGGAUGCUAGUUUGGAAAGAAAAAUCAUGGAAGUGCCUAAGAAGUCGGGCGACGUCACUGAGAACAACAAUGAUCAGAUGAACGAUUUACUGCGACCAAUUAUGAAAAUACGGAAUAAUAUUCUUCAUGAGGAACACGUACUUCAAGAUCGAAGUGCUGAAUAAGGGAAAAUGACAGCUAAAGUGUUGGCAAUAAUGAAAAAGUAUAAGGAAACCGGCUCAAAUAUGAUGGAAGUUGCCAAUCCAUCUUGUUGUGGAGAUGGUGAUAAAACAAGGAGAAAUAAGAGGACGACACUGAAGGAGGCACUCCUCCACAACAAGUGCCAGGAGCUCAACGAGAUCUGUUAUGACAUGAAGUGUAUACCCCCAAGAUACACAGUAUUACCUUCACCAGAAGAUGGAAUGUUCCAUGCCAAUGUACAUUUUACAUGCCCUGGUUAUGACAUGAGCAUCACUGGUGGUGCUCAUCAGACCCCAGAUGGGGCGAGCGCUAGUGGUGCCAGAACGGCGAUGAGGUUGAUGGCGCUCCACGCCGGCGUGGCGGAUCAUGCUGGAUCCAUCGAUUCGGUCGCCGCUAGGCGUUUGGGGGUGGAGAUCCGGCAUGGAUGCGCUCACGACGACGACCUACACGUGGCGGCGCUCGGUGAUGACAACCUACAGGCGGCGGUGCUCGGUGACGACGACCUACAGGCGGCGGCGCCUACAAGCUGCGACGCUCAGUGA